Long non-coding RNA from Papaver somniferum (opium poppy), 555 nucleotides. RefSeq lists it as uncharacterized. The transcript is spliced from 4 exons. The record is from RefSeq and is a predicted model, not a curated record. Lineage: Eukaryota; Viridiplantae; Streptophyta; Magnoliopsida; Ranunculales; Papaveraceae.
UUUUAUGGUUUUUUCCUUUCCGGCCUCCUCCUCUUUUCACCCGCGGUUUCUUUUCAAUUCUUCCUCUAUGAAUUAUUUUUCUGUUUGCGCUGCAGUCUGCCGUCCAUGGAGAAGCAUUACAGGUGACGGAAAAUCACUAUGUAGAUGAAGGUUAUUCUGCAGUAAUCUGCCCGAGCUUCCUCUUUCUUCGUUCAGACUAGUCCAGUAACCAUGGAGAACCGAGGCUUGGAUUGAUCAAUCAUCACCUCAUGUUGAAGGUAAGAAUGAUUACAACAACUACGAAGUGAUCUGGCCCAAGGUUCGUGAUGUUAUUAUGAAUCCAGUUAAGAGCAAUCUAACUGAGAUGGCAACCACGCACCAACAUGUUACAUGCCAGUACUGUUAUGCUUGAUGUACCUCCUGCUUAGGGAACUGAAAGUCUUACUGGACGAAAGUUCGAUCUCCUUGGAUGUUUAAAUUUUAGUGUCUUGAAUGAUCAAAAUUAAGUCUCUUUGUGAACCAAGAGAUUUUUAUUUGAGAAAAAUACUGAAUCUAACCACAAUAAUGAGUUACUCU